Molecule: ribosomal RNA, 217 nt
Filed under: uncultured bacterium
Lineage: Bacteria
Description: partial 16S ribosomal RNA
Rfam family: Bacterial small subunit ribosomal RNA
Source: RNAcentral
GUCUCAGUUCAGAUUGCAGGCUGCAACUCGCCUGCAUGAAGUCGGAAUUGCUAGUAAUCGCAGAUCAGCAUGCUGCGGUGAAUACGUUCCCGGGCCUUGUACACACCGCCCGUCACACCAUGGGAGUCGGUAACACCCGAAGUCGGUAGCCUAACCGUAAGGAGGGCGCCGCCGAAGGUGGGGACUGAUGACUGGGGUGAAGUCGUAACAAGGUAAC